UGCGUAGGCGGUCUAUCAAGUCAGAUGUGAAAUCCCCGGGCUUAACCCGGGACGGGCAUUUGAAACUGGUAGACUUGAGUAAAGAAGAGGUAAGUGGAAUUCCUAGUGUAGCGGUGGAAUGCGUAGAUAUUAGGAGGAACACCAGUGGCGAAGGCGACUUACUGGUCUUUUACUGACGCUGAGGCACGAAAGCGUGGGGAGCAAACAGGAUUAGAUACCCUGGUAGUCC
RNAcentral lists this ribosomal RNA (229 nucleotides) under uncultured bacterium. RNAcentral describes it as "partial 16S ribosomal RNA". It matches the Rfam family "Bacterial small subunit ribosomal RNA", at positions 568 to 796 of the family's 1533-position model. The record is from RNAcentral.